Molecule: long non-coding RNA, 3069 nt
Organism: Macaca fascicularis (crab-eating macaque)
Lineage: Eukaryota; Metazoa; Chordata; Mammalia; Primates; Cercopithecidae
Source: Ensembl
AGGGCUUGGAGGAGAUUCGUCACGUCGUGCCCGCCUCUCGGCUCUUGGCAUCCAAGGAUGGGAGGAGGGAACAGAAGGUAAAAGCGCCAUGGAUGGAGCUCUCAGGUGGGACUGGCACCGUCUGAGGCCUUACCGAUGGAAAAUGGGAAGCAGAGCCACAAGGAGUUUCUGCUCAAGAGAACAGACCGGCUCGAGAUGCUCCUCCUGUCGCCUGAUCAACCCUGGCAACCACAAGUCCUGUUGCUGCAGGGCCAGUGCUCCCAUGGGAAGGAGUUGAACCAGUGUCCUGGGACUCUGCCCUUUGUGCUGGGACCAGAGCUUCAUCCAGUUCUCCAUCCUCACGUAGGCCCCCAGGGGUGGAGCAGGGGUGUUGGGAGGCAGCAUCCUCUCUCAGUUGGCUUCGGCAUCUCUGGGUGCCUGUGAGCUCCAUACAGCUGCUCUGCCAGUGCAGGUGUUUCUGAGUAAAUAACCACGGCCCUUAAUAAGUCCAGACUCAGUCGCUUUUUUAACAAAAGAGGUUCCACACCCUUCUGGAAGGCUGGAUGCACUCACAGCAACCUUUGCCCACCUUCACUAUUUGAUCACUGACAGUAAGUUUCCAUCUCCCUAGGUGUAUCAGGAACUGCACAGGAUAGAAUAAAAUUAUUACAACAUGCACCUCUUGAGCGCCUACUUUGUGUCAAGAACCAUGCUAACCCAAAAGCACAGUGGUGAGCGGAUUACACUUGGAUUCUGCCCCUGCUGCUGCAAACUCACCGAAGAACAUGCCAGACACGCAGACAGCUCAGAAAAGAGCCAGGGGCCAGGCCGCAGUGCCUUCUGCCAGGGCUCUUGAAAGCAGGGGCCAUGGAGGCUGAGGAUGUGAGGGAAUGCUUCCCAGCAGCAGUAGCAUUUGAGGUCUUGCAGGAUGGAGGACAACCAUUCCAGGCAGGGGUACUGAAGAGAGCAUGGACAUACAAAGCUGGUGACACCAGGUCAGAGGAGACAGACACACUCAGCUUCCCAUGAGUGCAUGAAAGAUCCAGGCUGGAGCCUUCUCUGGGAGGAAGUUGGUCUGGGGUGGGGCCGAGGGGGCCGAGUCUCCCCUACCUGAAGGAAGAGAGGGUUAGACGUCGCACGUGUGUAUUCUCAUCCCUCCGUCUCCUCUCUCACGAAGGCAUUUUCUCGAGUACUUCCUCUCAUGAGCACUGCACACCAUUCCCCUGCCUGCUUUCUCUCCACCUACUAGCAAGGCAAAGCUCCCAGCCUGCCCCAGCCUGGACACCUGCCCCAGCCUGGACACCUGCUGGCAAAAAUCUACAGCCCCACUGAUUGGCCUCAACCUGAAAUCAGGACCACUGAUUCAAAGAACACUCGACCAUGCAGCCAAGUCACCUGCCCUGCUCUGGUGUGUUUCCUCUCCCACUCUUCAAUGUGAUUCUUCCACACCAUCUUCUCCUCCCUACCUUCUCAAACUCCUCAUUUGGCUUCCCCCUACCAAUUUCCUAGCCAGGACCUUAUUCUUAUGUCACUGAGCAAAACCAUUAGAAGGGGACUGAGCAUCUUCCCACCACCACCUCAACCCGUCACCUGCAUCUGUCUCCACCUUCAUGUCCUGGAGGAGGAAGAGCCUUGCUCUCAUCAGAGGAAGCUCCUCCUCCUGGGUGGGGGCCCUUCUUGUGCCUUCCCAGGACUUUGAGUCUGCCAUUGUGCCCCUGUCUCUGGCAUCACUAACGUCCCUCUCUGCAUUAGAUAAUGGCCUGCAGUGUGCAUGAAGAUGUCUUAAGGAGACUGUCCUCUAGGGCCCCUCACCUCUAUCCAGCGAUGGCUGUACUUCUCCUCCAGGCCAGCCAAGGCCCCUGCUGGGUGAGGCGUGUGUUCAUGUGUUGGUCCCCAAUGUCCCUUGAUUGAAGAGUGAUGUCUACUUUUUUCUGCUGGUGCGCUGGCCAGGUGGCUGCCUCUAGCUCCCCUGGCUCCUAUGCUGUGAUGAAAAUCUCCCCAGUCCCAGGCUUUUGUGUCCUGCAGUGAAACAGCCUUGCCUUGCCCCUCACCUAGUGGAUCCCAGUCAGCCUUUAUAUUAUAGCUGAAGAGUCACUUCCUCAGGGCACCUGCUUCCCUGGCCACAGAGGCCAAUUUUCCCUCCGGUGAGAGGCUUCCCCUGCAUCCCUGUAGACCUGGCACCAUGAGAGUGUCAGAUCUGAGUGGUGUGUUUUUUGAUAUGGGAGUGUUGGCUGGAAGUUAGAAGACUUGUUCAUGAGCCCCUUGCUCCUCUGUGCAGGAGCCUGAAGCCGGCCCCUGUGGCUUUGUCCUGACCGCAUGCCGCUGCCCUGAGGACCACACUCUCUCCUGGCUGGCAGCCCUGCUCCAAAGCUUUCCGAGCACUUCCAGCUGGAGCUCGGGGCGGGUGGGCAUCACUUUCAUGAACUGUCAGUUUACCAUUGAAGAACGGGAGGAGGGAGAAUUGAAAGGAAAGGAGAGAGGGAGGAGCGCAGGGUUGGCACAUUGCUGCUGCUGCGGCCGAGAUGCACCAAAGUGUCACCAGAAGCUGGGACAAAGCCGGGGGUGGCUCCUCCCUCAGAGCCUCAGAGAAGCCCACCUUACUGACAACCGGACUCCUGGUCUCCAGAGCGGCAGGAGAACACACUUCUGAGGCUUGGAGGCCCCUGCACUGUGAAAAGUUGUGACUGCAGUCCCAGGAAAUGGAUACAAUGAUCUGAAAACAUCAGGGGAUUUGGUAACAUGGAUCUCAUUGGCAUAAAAUAAAUAGGCAGAAAAUCUAAUUCUUUAAAUCUGUUUGCGUUUUGGCACAUUGGCUGAUCCAUUUUACUAUCCACUAAUUGAAUAAAUACAUGAAAACUAUUUUGUUUUUGAAAACGGAGGCGACAGGAGCCUGCAGUGCACGUUAGAGGGCACACAGAGGGAGGUCACCCUCAGGACCCAGCUGACCCCAUAGGAUAGAACAUUUCCAAGUGUUGCAGCCUCCGUAAGGACUAGGGGUCACAGCGCUGCUGUUCUGCAAAUUUAUCUCGGAAUCAUUUUCACAAACUCUGUUUUGGGUUAAAGACAGAAAUCUAUCAAACAGCACACAGA